Molecule: small nucleolar RNA, 131 nt
Organism: Rhinopithecus bieti (black snub-nosed monkey)
Lineage: Eukaryota; Metazoa; Chordata; Mammalia; Primates; Cercopithecidae
Source: Ensembl
GUUGAGGUCUGUCCCAAUGGGGUUUUUCCUGUAGCCUGCAUGUCGUUGGAAACGCCUCAUAGAGUAACUCUGUGGUUUUACUUUAUCACAGGACCAUUGUUAGAUCUGUGAGAAGGAACUACAAGACAGUU